Molecule: ribosomal RNA, 266 nt
Filed under: uncultured archaeon
Lineage: Archaea
Description: partial 16S ribosomal RNA
Rfam family: Archaeal small subunit ribosomal RNA
Source: RNAcentral
ACACGACUACAUUAGACUACCCGUGUAGUCCUAGCCGUAAACUAUGCUCGCUAGGUGUCAGGGACGGUGCGACCGUUUCUGGUGCCGCAGGGAAGCCGUGAAGCGAGCCACCUGGGAAGUACGGUCGCAAGGCUGAAACUUAAAGGAAUUGGCGGGGGAGCACCACAACGGGUGGAGCUUGCGGUUUAAUUGGAUUCAACGCCGGAAAUCUUACCGGGACCGACAGCAACAUGAAGGCCAGGCUGAAGACUUUGCCGGAUUAGCUG